Molecule: ribosomal RNA, 479 nt
Filed under: uncultured bacterium
Lineage: Bacteria
Description: partial 16S ribosomal RNA
Rfam family: Bacterial small subunit ribosomal RNA
Source: RNAcentral
GAUGAACGCUAGCGGGAGGCCUAACACAUGCAAGCCGAGCGGUAGAGUCUCUUCGGAGACUUGAGAGCGGCGCACGGGUGCGGAACACGUGUGCAACCUGCCUUUAUCUGGGGGAUAGCCUUUCGAAAGGAAGAUUAAUACCCCAUAAUAUACUGGAUGGCAUCAUCUGGUAUUGAAAACUCCGGUGGAUAGAGAUGGGCACGCGCAAGAUUAGAUAGUUGGUGAGGUAACGGCUCACCAAGUCAGCGAUCUUUAGGGGGCCUGAGAGUGUGAUCCCCCACACUGGUACUGAGACACGGACCAGAAUCGUACGGGAGGCAGCGGUGAGGAAUAUUGGACAAGGAGUGAGAGCCUGAUCCAGCCAUCCCGCGUGAAGGACGACGGCCCUAGGGGUUGUAAACUUCUUUUGAAGAGGGAUAAACCUAGAUACGUGUAUCUAGCUGAAGGUACUAUACGAAUAAGCACCGGCUAACUCCGUG